CUUUACCAUGCGGGCAACCGUGAUAAGGAACCCCGAGUGCCAGCAGAGACUGGCUGUCCAUCAGUGUAAAUAACUGGUGAAGAAAGGGCCGGGCAAGACCGGUGCCAGCCGCCGCGGUAAUACCGGCGGCUCGAGUGGUGACCGUUAUUAUUGGGUCUAAAGGGUCUGUAGCCGGCCGGAUAAGUCUCUUGAGAAAUCUGGCAGCUUAACUGUCAGGCUUUCAGGAGAUACUGUCUGGCUCGAGGCCGGGAGAGGUGAGAGGUACUUCGAGGGGGUAGGGGUGAAAUCUUGUAAUCCUUGAAGGACCACCAGUGGCGAAGGCGUCUCACCAGAACGG
RNAcentral lists this ribosomal RNA (337 nucleotides) under uncultured archaeon. RNAcentral describes it as "bacterial SSU rRNA". It matches the Rfam family "Archaeal small subunit ribosomal RNA", at positions 348 to 688 of the family's 1478-position model. The record is from RNAcentral.